UGAUUUUUUACUAAUCUUUUGUCAGUUGUAUAUUUUCAGGGGUUCAGAUGAGGGACGACGACAGAAGAGGACUUUGGCCGGCCAAAAGAAGAAGAGGACUGCAUUGCCCAGCUAUGAGCAGAAACCAACAUUGGCCAGAGUGGAGGAUGCCUGGAUCCCAAUGUUAGGAACAACUUCCUUGUUUGUCAAGAGGAGGGUGGGGAGCAGGGCGAGGAAUUUACUGCACGCAAGCAGAGAAGAAAAGUAGGCGGUUAGGAUGAACUGCAGCCCCUGGUGUGGACCAACCUUGCCUCCCAAUCAGCUGCAGUCAUCGUUGGAAGAUGCGGAUGCAGAAGAGAAGGACCCAUCCCAAGGAGCUGAAGAGAAGGACCUAGGCCAAGGAGCAAAGGAGAAGGACACAUCCCAAGGAACAGAAGAGAUGGACCAAUCCUAAUGAGCAGAAGAGAAGGACCCAUCUUAUGGAGCAGAAGAGAAAGAACCAUCCUAAGGAGCAGAAGGGAAUGACCCAUCCCAGGGAGCACAAUAGAGUACCUAUCUCAAAGAUCAGAAGAGAAGGACCCAUCCCGAAGAGCAGAAGAGAAGGACCCAUCCCAAGGAGCAAAAGAGGACCCAGUUCAUCAGCUGCAGAUGGGUUAGGUGCAGCGAAUUUAAUGUGGUAUAAUGGAC
Saccostrea echinata is the source of this 666-nucleotide long non-coding RNA. RefSeq lists it as uncharacterized. The record is from RefSeq and is a predicted model, not a curated record. The transcript is spliced from 4 exons. NCBI's taxonomy places the organism in Eukaryota, Metazoa, Mollusca, Bivalvia, Ostreida, Ostreidae.